UGACUAAGACAGGAGAUAUAAAAACAA
This 27-nucleotide non-coding RNA is filed under the name Mus musculus (house mouse). Lineage: Eukaryota; Metazoa; Chordata; Mammalia; Rodentia; Muridae. The record is from RNAcentral.